AGGUUGUUGUCAAGAUGGAGUGCCUAACCCAGUAAUCCAUGGACCAGGCCCUGAGUCCACAAAGGUACCAUUGCCUCUGCAGCCUAUUCUUCACCAUCAACCCACCCCUACGGUCUCCUCCCUUAUGGCUGCAGGUGGACUUUCCUACCCUGUGAUCCAGGGUGUGGCAAGGUUCACCAAUCAGGCAAUUGUUCCUUCCAAGAGACCAUCUUUUCCCCAGCGACUGCUGAGGAAAAUGGGCUUAACCUGGGAUCACCAAAGUCCACCAACAAAUCUAGGUGUGGUGGUGACACCUGUUUUCCCA
Molecule: long non-coding RNA, 304 nt
Filed under: Rattus norvegicus (Norway rat)
Lineage: Eukaryota; Metazoa; Chordata; Mammalia; Rodentia; Muridae
Description: long non-coding RNA NONRATT000672
Source: RNAcentral